This 72-nucleotide transfer RNA is filed under the name Candidatus Woesearchaeota archaeon. RNAcentral describes it as "tRNA-Val". It matches the Rfam family "tRNA". From Rfam's summary of the family: Transfer RNA (tRNA) molecules are approximately 80 nucleotides in length. Their secondary structure includes four short double-helical elements and three loops (D, anti-codon, and T loops). Lineage: Archaea; Nanobdellati; Candidatus Woesearchaeota. The record is from RNAcentral.
GAGCCCGUAGUUUAGUGGUAUAACGUCUCCUUGACGUGGAGAAGGUCGUCGGUUCGAAUCCGGCCGGGCUCA